RNAcentral lists this ribosomal RNA (400 nucleotides) under uncultured bacterium. RNAcentral's name for it is "bacterial SSU rRNA". It matches the Rfam family "Bacterial small subunit ribosomal RNA", at positions 356 to 773 of the family's 1533-position model. The record is from RNAcentral.
GGGGAAUAUUGCACAAUGGGCGAAAGCCUGAUGCAGCAACGCCGCGUGAGUGAUGACGGUCUUCGGAUUGUAAAGCUCUGUCUUUUGGGACGAUAAUGACGGUACCAAAGGAGGAAGCCACGGCUAACUACGUGCCAGCAGCCGCGGUAAUACGUAGGUGGCAAGCGUUGUCCGGAUUUACUGGGCGUAAAGGAUGUGUAGGCGGAUACUUAAGUGAGAUGUGAAAGCCCCGGGCUCAACCUGGGGACUGCAUUUCAAACUGGGUAUCUAGAGUGCAGGAGAGGAAAGCGGAAUUCCUAGCGUAGCGGUGAAAUGCGUAGAGAUUAGGAAGAACAUCAGUGGCGAAGGCGGCUUUCUGGACUGUAACUGACGCUCAGGUGCGAAAGCGUGGGGAGCAAAC